CGGCCCAGACUCCUACGGGAGGCAGCAGUGGGGAAUAUUGCACAAUGGGCGGAAGCCUGAUGCAGCAACGCCGCGUGAGGGAUGACGGCCUUCGGGUUGUAACCUCUUUUAGCAGGGAAGAAGCGAAAGUGACGGUACCUGCAGAAAAAGCACCGGCUAACUACGUGCCAGCAGCCGCGGUAAUACGUAGGGUGCAAGCGUUAUCCGGAAUGAUUGGGCGUAAAGCGUCCGCAGGUGGCAGUUCAAGUCUGCUGUCAAAGACCGGGGCUUAACUUCGGAAAGGCAGUGGAAACCGAACAGCUAGAGUAUGGUAGGGGCAGAGGGAAUUCCUGGUGUAGCGGUGAAAUGCGUAGAGAUCAGGAAGAACAUCGGUGGCGAAGGCGCUCUGCUGGGACCAUAAACUGACAACUCAAGGGGACGGAAGCUAGGGGAGCGAAUGGGAUUAGAUACCCCAGUAGUCCUAAGCCGUAAACGAUGGAUACUAGGUGUUGUCUGUAAUCGACCCGGACAGUGCCGUAGCUAACGCGUUAAGUAUCCCGCUAGGUCGUAGGGG
Molecule: ribosomal RNA, 553 nt
Filed under: uncultured bacterium
Lineage: Bacteria
Description: bacterial SSU rRNA
Rfam family: Bacterial small subunit ribosomal RNA
Source: RNAcentral